Long non-coding RNA from Oreochromis aureus, 352 nucleotides. NCBI's taxonomy places the organism in Eukaryota, Metazoa, Chordata, Actinopteri, Cichliformes, Cichlidae. The record is from Ensembl.
AUUAGGGCAAUACAAUUGAAGUAAAAGUAGGAAAUUAAAUGAGUAAGAAUACACAUGCUGAAAAUUGAAACAAAUUCUGCCCAGCAACAUGACAUACCAGCGGCGGGAAGGGGGCGCUAUCUUUUCGCGUCACUGAGACAAAGGAGACAAAGAUGGAGGUUACGUCGCCUAGUAUGUUGUCAGACCUUACAUGAGGUAGACGUUAAGGACUUUGAUAGAUUCCAUAUCUUCCUGUCAGCCGGAGGGCCACCAAUGGAAACCUCUCUUGGUGAGAUUAGACAAAAUCAGUCUACCAUUACCACAGAAGACCAAAGUCAACCCCUGAAGUCACUACUCAAGAGGAAAGCCCCAC